Molecule: ribosomal RNA, 838 nt
Filed under: Halomonas sp. YCSD26
Lineage: Bacteria; Pseudomonadati; Pseudomonadota; Gammaproteobacteria; Oceanospirillales; Halomonadaceae
Description: bacterial SSU rRNA
Rfam family: Bacterial small subunit ribosomal RNA
Source: RNAcentral
UGGGCGAAGCCUGAUCCAGCCAUGCCGCGUGUGUGAAGAAGGCUUUCGGGUUGUAAAGCACUUUCAGUGAGGAAGAAGGCCUUGGGGCUAAUACCCCCGAGGAAGGACAUCACUCACAGAAGAAGCACCGGCUAACUCCGUGCCAGCAGCCGCGGUAAUACGGAGGGUGCGAGCGUUAAUCGGAAUUACUGGGCGUAAAGCGCGCGUAGGCGGCGUGAUAAGCCGGUUGUGAAAGCCCCGGGCUCAACCUGGGAACGGCAUCCGGAACUGUCAGGCUAGAGUGCAGGAGAGGAAGGUAGAAUUCCCGGUGUAGCGGUGAAAUGCGUAGAGAUCGGGAGGAAUACCAGUGGCGAAGGCGGCCUUCUGGACUGACACUGACGCUGAGGUGCGAAAGCGUGGGUAGCAAACAGGAUUAGAUACCCUGGUAGUCCACGCCGUAAACGAUGUCGACUAGCCGUUGGGGUCCUUGAGACCUUUGUGGCGCAGUUAACGCGAUAAGUCGACCGCCUGGGGAGUACGGCCGCAAGGUUAAAACUCAAAUGAAUUGACGGGGGCCCGCACAAGCGGUGGAGCAUGUGGUUUAAUUCGAUGCAACGCGAAGAACCUUACCUACCCUUGACAUCGUGCGAACUUUCCAGAGAUGGAUUGGUGCCUUCGGGAACGCACAGACAGGUGCUGCAUGGCUGUCGUCAGCUCGUGUUGUGAAAUGUUGGGUUAAGUCCCGUAACGAGCGCAACCCUUGUCCCUAUUUGCCAGCGAUUCGGUCGGGAACUCUAGGGAGACUGCCGGUGACAAACCGGAGGAAGGUGGGGACGACGUCAAGUCAUCAUGGCCCUUA